UCUAUACUUGAACCGUUCGCGCAAAUGGAGAAAGCAUUAAAAUGUGCAGAUUAUUGAAAACGGCGUCUCUUAUCAACUUUGUUGUUACAUUAUUUCGAAUUUGUCAAGAGUUUCGUCACUACAAGAAGAAUAAGUAGAAAACCAAAACAUUCACGUGAGUAUAUUGGGCGGCGGUGGUCUUUCCGUCGUUUAUAACAUUGAAUCGGAAUUGAGCCAGCAUGAACCCCAUUAGAUUCGAUUGAUACUCUUUUUGCGUUGUUCUCCUUCAAUAGCAGAACACCAAAAGGAAAAAGGAAAGCUCUCCUUCCUGCGUGGAUUCUGCUCCUUUGACUGAGGCAAAACUCCACUGAGAUGUAGAAGCGAAGUACUUUUGAUGGAGAGAAGACUAUUUUUGACGAAGAAGAGUACUUUCGUUGCAGGGUUUACAAUUAGGGUUUUGAUGGUUUUUCACACGAUUCUCCCCUGCUUCAUCUUCCAAGAUCUAAGUUAUUGUUUUAUUAGGCUUUCUGGUUGGGGUGGUGGAGGCAGUGGCGAUGCCUCUGCACCAAGAGCUAAUAACACCAUCUUCUCACCAGAGAACACACAACAGGGAAGAAGACGUUUGAGUUCAAGCAGAGUUUCGGGAGAAGAAAGGCCGCUCACCUGAUAAGAGAUUUGAAACUGCGACUGUUGGAAAUGCAAUGGGUACCACGGAAAAAGUCUAGGCUGGGAUGGAUGGUUUCUGUUCCAGCCUCUUUGUCCACCCGCAAAUUUCAUCUCAAUCGAUCUCUUCUUUGUCAUUGAAAUUUUUAGCUAACCUGAAACUGAUUUUUGAGGGUUUUUGUGGGUGUUUUUUCUUCUUUGUUAGGGUUUAACGAUGGAGGGUUCGUCCAUUGUUGUUAAGUUCAAACAAUUUUAAUAGUAUUUACGUUUCCAUAGACAUGCCGUAAAUCCACGUUUUCUUGUCUUGCCCAGUCAAACUCUUGGACACAUGUUGGAAUCUGAUUGAUAUUUAGAACAAUUAAUCUUCCUGUCUUAAUUGUAUUUUGAACUUAAUAUUUAGAUCUUUUUCUACAAGUUGACAUGCUCUCUUAUAAAAUGCAGUUUGAGCAAGGGGUUGCGCAGGCCAUUCUUCGUGGUCUUAUAGAUUUUAAACGGGAUCCAGGGUCAAAUGUUUCAGAGAGUGCAAAGAAUUUGGUUCGACAGAUGUUAGAGCCUGACCCAAAACUUUGGUUGACUGCAAAGCAAGUGCUUGGUAUUUUCCUACUUUUGUGUUACUGUACAUGUUGAACAUGUAAUAAUGCAAAUCAACUUCUUGAAAAAGCUACACUUAAGGAACACUCCUUACAAACUUACAUGUACUGAUUUGGUUAUUUGGAAAACAUCCGGGGCAUAUUUCUCAUGGGUUAUGAUGCUCCAGGCAGCCAGGCCAUAGGUUCCAUGCCUAAAACUGUCUUGCCCAAAUGGAAGGUAAUCUCUAUGCCCAUGUUAGAAUGGGAGGGUGUCUAUAUAGACUUUCUAAAGAAAUGUACAUCCUUUGAAGAGAACACAUGCAGAAAUCUGUGUUGAUAUAUGAGUGGUGACAGCAUAGACUUGGGUUUCAUUUCCAUCAAGAGCAAUUUUCAUCUGAUAGUAUUACUCUUACUUGUGCCGUUAUCAUUUUGUUAUGGACUCACAAGAGUAUCGUUGAUUUGAAUAUACUUGCAGUUGAUUGUUUUUGUUAUUAUGUUCUUUCCUGGUUCUGUUUUGCUGAGCCAGUUGAUUUCAUGAAUACUACCCGCAAGGUUAUCAUUCUGCUUAUUGAAUCGGCAUAAAUAACUUACAGUUUGCACUUGGUUUAUCAUUCUGCUUAGUAUGAUGAUCAGACUUCUGACAUUUAGAUGAAUUAUUGAACACUAGACAAUUAGGAUCUGAUGCCUACAUUCUUCCUCCCUUACAGAACAUCCUUGGCUCCAAAAUGCUAAAAAUCUCCAAUUGUUCCUCUUGGAGAUGUUGUCAAGUCAAGGCUUAAGCAGUUUUCUAUGAUGAACAGAUUCAAGAAGAAAGCAUUAAGGGUUAUUGCUGAUCAUUUAUCCUUUGAAGAAGUUGAAGACAUCAAAGAAAUGUUUAAGAAGAUGGACACUGAUAAUGAUGGUAUUGUUUCAAUUGAGGAACUGAAAACUGGACUUCCAAAGUUUGGCUCCCAGCUGGCAGAGAAGAUGGACACUGAUACCUUUCAAUUUACCUGUUUUAUGUGGUUUAUUUUUUUAUUCUUUAUUUGCUAAAUUGUUUUUCUCUUCUAUUCUUAAAGUUAAGUUGUAAGCAGCUGUCAGUAUGUCUAACUUGCAAUGUUCUACCAAGGAGUGAACUACAAUUUUGAAACCCAUCAUGGAUGGAGCUUCAUGUCUUUUCACCUAUUUAAUUGAACUUUGUUAUAAUCCAGGCUAUGCAUUGGAAAAAGCUCUUAUUAGAUGAUGUGUAAAUGGUAAACCUUACUUUUGUCUGUACAUUGACUUGAAUUAUUGAGAAUAUUGUAUCUUCUACUUCUAUUUGGAUGGUUAAGAGGAAGAUAUAUUACAUCUCACGAAUAAAGUUAUUCAAUAGGAUGUUAGUCUUUUAUCUUAAUUCUUGUUUUGACAGGAUGUUUUGAAUCUUUAGAUGCUUCUAUAUAUUGAACCAUGCGGAGACAAAUCUCAUAAACUAUGCUAGGGUGUUUCCCCUAUGGAUUUUGCGUUUUAUUAGAAAUUAGAAAAUAUUAAAUAAUCUGUCCAACACUUCAAGCCACCACUUUCAUGGUGGUGGUGUUCACUCUGAAUCAACUACGAAGCUUUUUGUUAGUUUCAUAGCAGAGAUUAGAUUUUUUUAUGUUGCAUGCAUUUGGUCUCUUUGAUUUUGCAUUUUUCCGGAGCUAAAGACAGUGGAGGAUUUGAUUUAGUUACUUUGCCAUCCAGUCAGAUGUGUCUUAAAUGUAUUCCUUGUUCCUUCAUGACGUCUGUUUUUUAUUUCUCUCUCUGUUUGCAAUGGAAAUGUAGAAUAGUUGGAGGAAUUAGUACUGAGAAUCCAAAUAUAUUAGCUGGUUUUCCUCUGUUACUGAGAAUCCAAAUAUGUAGAAUAGUUGCAUGCAUUUGGGCUCUGCAGAAUUUCUUCUCUUAAGUUGGAAAUUAUUUGUGAAAAACUGAAACCUCAUGUUUUUUCACUAAAAUGUCUUCUUCAAUACAUUAUCCAUAAUCUGCUAAGUAAUUGCAUGCCAUUUGGAGCAAUGUUUGAUUUAAGCCAUUUUUGUUUUAGUGAUAAAAAAAUAUCUCCUACUAUCUAUUUUCAGUUUUGGUUAGAAUUAUCUUUUUUGAAAGGAAAGCUAAGGAAAGUUGGACCAAGGUGUUAGGUACUUUAUGAAGGAAGCAACCACAAACAUUUUUUUUUCUUUCAAUUGUUUUUUAUUUAAAAAUGAGCCAUACAUAAAAAUAUUCAACUUUUGGGGUGGUGCUUUGUCAUAUCUUCCUGGACCACAACAAGAGGAGUUUAUGUGCAGGCUAAGAUGGUCACUGGUUGCAAAUGAGAGUACAUGCAGAUUUUAGAUCUGAACUUUCAAACCACAUAGUUAGGACUUAGGAGACAACUCCAGCUCAGGGCCUAGCUUUGGAAAAGGAAAAGGGCUAAAUCUAGCUAGAGAUUAAUGACCUUUCUUUGUGACUGCUAGAAGCUUGUGGCUGAAAUGUCAACACCAUUUCUUUUCAAACCACAUAGUUAGGACUUAGGAGACAACUCCAGCUCAAGGCCUAGCUUUGGAAAAGGAAAAGGGCUAAAUCUAGCUAGAGAUUAAUGACCUUUCUUUGUGACUGCUAGAAGCUUGUGGCUGAAAUGUCUACACCAUUUCUUCUCCUGCUAGAAGCAUCUGGAAAGGCUGGUAGGAGUGAUUGCAUCUUCUCCUUUUCCUCCUCAGUUCCAUGGUUUGUGAAACCCUAGCAUCUUAUGUUGGCUUGAAUAUAAGUAGGAGAUUCGAAGUUAGUAUACAUAUUUUUUGUUUGUAAUAACCUUUUUAUUGAUUAUUUUGAAUCAAUUGAGCAAUUGGGAUUGAUCCAACACAGAAUUUGGAGUUCAAGGUUGUUCCAAUAGAGUCUAUAGAGAAUUAUCUCAAUUCUGUGAUUGCAGAAAGACCGGCUUGCCUUGCUAUUGUUACUUAAUUGGCUUUAUCAAAUAUAGCAAGUGCAGUCUUUGGAGAGCACUCUUCGUUUCUUCUUACCAUAUUCAAUGCUUGCUGACUUUAACACAUCUAUUGAAUGAAAAGUGUUGCUAACAUUCUAAUGCUUGACUUGCAAGGUGCGGUGAGGAAAUUCAAGAAACCCAAAGUUGAAUGUCCGAAAGGAAGACAAGUAUCAUUACCAUCUGUGGCGUGUAUCGUUAAUAUGUCAAUUGGAUAUUAUUGGAAAAUUUGAAAGUUUUGAAGGUUCUUGUAAUGUUAGUAUGUCAAUUGGAAAUUGUAUUUGAACAA
This is a long non-coding RNA of Nelumbo nucifera (sacred lotus), 4447 nucleotides long. RefSeq lists it as uncharacterized. Lineage: Eukaryota; Viridiplantae; Streptophyta; Magnoliopsida; Proteales; Nelumbonaceae. The record is from RefSeq and is a predicted model, not a curated record.